CUACGUGCCAGCAGCCGCGGUAAUACGGAGGGUGCGAGCGUUAAUCGGAAUAACUGGGCGUAAAGGGCACGCAGGCGGUGACUUAAGUGAGGUGUGAAAGCCCCGGGCUUAACCUGGGAAUUGCAUUUCAUACUGGGUCGCUAGAGUACUUUAGGGAGGGGCGGAAUUCCACGUGUAGCGGUGAAAUGCGUAGAGAUGUGGAGGAAUACCGAAGGCGAAGGCAGCCCCUUGGGAAUGUACUGACGCUCAUGUGCGAAAGCGUGGGGAGCAAACAGGAUUAGAUACCCUGGUAGUCCACGCUGUAAACGAUGUCGAUUUGGGGGUUGAGCUUUAAGCUUGGCGCCCGUAGCUAACGUGAUAAAUCGACCGCCUGGGGAGUACGGCCGCAAGGUUAAAACUCAAAUGAAUUGACGGGGGCCCGCACAAGCGGUGGAGCAUGUGGUUUAAUUCGAUGCAACGCGAAGAACCUUACCUACUCUUGACAUCCAGAGAACAUUC
RNAcentral lists this ribosomal RNA (498 nucleotides) under uncultured bacterium. RNAcentral describes it as "bacterial SSU rRNA". It matches the Rfam family "Bacterial small subunit ribosomal RNA", at positions 501 to 1000 of the family's 1533-position model. The record is from RNAcentral.